UUGAACACGAUGAUAGGAAUAAAGGAAUAAGUUCUUGUAUUCCCAGAGAGCCGGGGUUGCUGGAAGCCCGGAAAUACAUCUUAUUCUGACAUCAUCCUUGAGUGUCCGCGCUGAACGUGAAUCUAGUAGGCGGGACCAGGUGUUUCACCGCACCUGUUAUCAAAAGGAGUUGAUUAGACUCCAUGAGGUGAAGCUUAAAUAGCUUCACGAAUGAGGGUGGUACCGUGGAAGUAAAGAGAGACCUUUUCACCCCUCAC
RNAcentral lists this non-coding RNA (257 nucleotides) under Halobacillus karajensis. Lineage: Bacteria; Bacillati; Bacillota; Bacilli; Caryophanales; Bacillaceae. The record is from RNAcentral.